UGGGGAAUUUUGGACAAUGGGCGAAAGCCUGAUCCAGCAAUGCCGCGUGUGUGAAGAAGGCCUUCGGGUUGUAAAGCACUUUUGUCCGGAAAGAAAUGGCUCUGGUUAAUACCUGGGGUCGAUGACGGUACCGGAAGAAUAAGGACCGGCUAACUACGUGCCAGCAGCCGCGGUAAUACGUAGGGUCCAAGCGUUAAUCGGAAUUACUGGGCGUAAAGCGUGCGCAGGCGGUUGUGCAAGACCGAUGUGAAAUCCCCGAGCUUAACUUGGGAAUUGCAUUGGUGACUGCACGGCUAGAGUGUGUCAGAGGGGGGUAGAAUUCCACGUGUAGCAGUGAAAUGCGUAGAGAUGUGGAGGAAUACCGAUGGCGAAGGCAGCCCCCUGGGAUAACACUG
This 395-nucleotide ribosomal RNA is filed under the name uncultured bacterium. Its description in RNAcentral is "partial 16S ribosomal RNA". It matches the Rfam family "Bacterial small subunit ribosomal RNA", at positions 355 to 742 of the family's 1533-position model. The record is from RNAcentral.